RNAcentral lists this ribosomal RNA (695 nucleotides) under Klebsiella oxytoca. RNAcentral's name for it is "partial 23S ribosomal RNA". It matches the Rfam family "Bacterial large subunit ribosomal RNA", at positions 2248 to 2925 of the family's 2925-position model. Lineage: Bacteria; Pseudomonadati; Pseudomonadota; Gammaproteobacteria; Enterobacterales; Enterobacteriaceae. The record is from RNAcentral.
CGGACAGUGUCUGGUGGGUAGUUUGACUGGGGCGGUCUCCUCCUAAAGAGUAACGGAGGAGCACGAAGGUCAGCUAAUCCUGGUCGGACAUCAGGAGGUUAGUGCAAUGGCAUAAGCUGGCUUGACUGCGAGCGUGACGGCGCGAGCAGGUGCGAAAGCAGGUCAUAGUGAUCCGGUGGUUCUGAAUGGAAGGGCCAUCGCUCAACGGAUAAAAGGUACUCCGGGGAUAACAGGCUGAUACCGCCCAAGAGUUCAUAUCGACGGCGGUGUUUGGCACCUCGAUGUCGGCUCAUCACAUCCUGGGGCUGAAGUAGGUCCCAAGGGUAUGGCUGUUCGCCAUUUAAAGUGGUACGCGAGCUGGGUUUAGAACGUCGUGAGACAGUUCGGUCCCUAUCUGCCGUGGGCGCUGGAGAAUUGAGGGGGGCUGCUCCUAGUACGAGAGGACCGGAGUGGACGCAUCACUGGUGUUCGGGUUGUCAUGCCAAUGGCAUUGCCCGGUAGCUAAAUGCGGAAGAGAUAAGUGCUGAAAGCAUCUAAGCACGAAACUUGCCCCGAGAUGAGUUCUCCCUGACUCCUUGAGAGUCCUGAAGGAACGUUGAAGACGACGACGUUGAUAGGCCGGGUGUGUAAGCGCAGCGAUGCGUUGAGCUAACCGGUACUAAUGAACCGUGAGGCUUAACCUUACAACGCCGAAG